GAUGAAGAACGUAGCGAAAUGCGAUAAGUAAUGUGAAUUGCAGAAUUCAGUGAAUCAUCGAAUCUUUGAACGCACCUUGCACUCCUUGGUAUUCCGAGGAGUACGCCUGUUCGAGUGUUAUGAAGCUCUCAAAACGCAAUUGGCUUAAAACCUGAUUGUUGUUUUGGAUUUGAACUUUGCCGUGUUAUAACGGCUGGUUUUAAAAGUAUUAGCUGGUACUAGAACGAAUUGGUUCUACUAAACGUGAUAAUUAUCUGAUCGUUGAGGACAUUCCUUUCACGAGGAAUGGCCAUAGUAAAUUCAAUGGACUGCUUCUAAUCUGGCUUUAAUUCUUUAUUGGAUUAACCACUUUUCAAAUCUGACCUCGAAUCAGGUGGGACUACCCGCUGAACUUAAGCAUAUCAAUAAGCGGAGGA
RNAcentral lists this unclassified non-coding RNA (416 nucleotides) under soil metagenome. RNAcentral describes it as "partial contains 5.8S ribosomal RNA, internal transcribed spacer 2, and large subunit ribosomal RNA". The stretch from base 1 to 120 matches the Rfam family "5.8S ribosomal RNA", at positions 35 to 154 of the family's 154-position model. The record is from RNAcentral.